RNAcentral lists this non-coding RNA (32 nucleotides) under Geobacter sulfurreducens KN400. The record is from RNAcentral. Lineage: Bacteria; Pseudomonadati; Thermodesulfobacteriota; Desulfuromonadia; Geobacterales; Geobacteraceae.
GUACCGGAGGAGUAUGCCGAUUUCACCGCUCC